This is a long non-coding RNA of Vicia villosa (hairy vetch), 759 nucleotides long. RefSeq lists it as uncharacterized. The record is from RefSeq and is a predicted model, not a curated record. Lineage: Eukaryota; Viridiplantae; Streptophyta; Magnoliopsida; Fabales; Fabaceae. The transcript is spliced from 2 exons.
CCCAUUCACCCCCUAUGUAUAUCAUACUUAUUGAGAAAUUUAGUAUUGCAUGUUGUAGCUUCUCAAAAGUCAAGAAUAUAAAAAGGGUCACAUUGGGAAUUAAUAUUGAAAUAUAUUGAUAUUCAAAUAUAUGCCAAGGGGUCACAUUUAACUCACGGUAGCUUUUCAAGUUGAUUGAUGGUUGGCAUAUUAUUUCAUGUUCAAUUUGAAGAGCUCUAUAUAUGAUAUACAUCACUUAAAUACUUUUUGGUAGAGAAAAAAUAUUUGUAACAAUGAAGAGGGAAACACUUGUUGGCGUGUGUUUCUUUCUCAUUGUUCUCUUAGCUGCUCAAGAAACCGUUGCAAUGUUUAAGCAAUGUGCGAUACCUAGCAAAUUCUUCGAAGGUAAAUGCAAUGGUGUAUACGACGAUGAACGGUGUGAGGAUAUUUGCAUGAGAGAAGAACAUUCAGUAAGGGGGUCAUGCAAUAAAUAUUUGAUAUGCAUUUGUUAUCAUUGUUGAACUCUUCACUAGGACUUGCCUCUUCUAUUUUAAAUUGUGUUAUAUUUAGUCUUAUAAACUUCAAUUUUUUCUGGGUUGUAACAAUUACGGGUGUAAGGCGUCCUUACAAUACACCCGUGAUUGUCACUUGAUUUUGUGAAACGGUUGUUUUUAGGCAUUUUGCAUAGUCUUUUUUUGAAUGCUUUUAUUUUUGCUCACCUCUUGUAAAAUUGGUUCAUGAAAAUCUUCUUAGAAUAUAUUUUCCUGCAUUUCGAAUGAA